AUAACACCACCAAGUUAUCAAUUCUCAAUUUGUUACCUGAGCCAGCUUCCCCAAGACCCUACUGUUUGAAUUUUCUCCAAAAUCUAAUCCUUAUUUCUAAAUUCCCCAAUCCCCAAACCUAGCAUGCCCUCAUUAAGAAGACUGACACUUCAGAAAGCCUCCGAUGAGUGUGCGACACCUCCUCGACCUUUUGUGCAUGACAUCUUUUCUGGUGUUUGUGACCAAACUAACAUUUAUCAUUUUCUCAUACUUAAGCUUAAUUAGUGUCCUCUUUUAUAUUUCUUGGAUUGUAAUUGGAGCUACAUUUAUAAUUGAAUGGCAUUCAGACAAGAAAGCUUCCUGGAUGAACACUGCAAGUUAUCUUGAACGCCAACUCGAAAUAAAAUUUCAAUUCUAAGGUCUAUUUGUCUCCUACCUAGCCGAGUGAUAAAAGAGUUUAUAUUAUAUCUCAG
This 452-nucleotide long non-coding RNA is filed under the name Olea europaea subsp. europaea. The record is from RNAcentral. Lineage: Eukaryota; Viridiplantae; Streptophyta; Magnoliopsida; Lamiales; Oleaceae.